RNAcentral lists this transfer RNA (88 nucleotides) under Gammaproteobacteria bacterium. RNAcentral's name for it is "tRNA-Ser". It matches the Rfam family "tRNA". Rfam says of the family: Transfer RNA (tRNA) molecules are approximately 80 nucleotides in length. The record is from RNAcentral. Lineage: Bacteria; Pseudomonadati; Pseudomonadota; Gammaproteobacteria. RNAcentral also lists the same sequence under 1 other name.
GGAGGAGUGUCUGAGUGGUUUAAGGUGCUUCGUUGGAAACGAAGUGUGUGGAAACGCACCGUAGGUUCGAAUCCUAUCUCCUCCGCCA